UUCCUUUAGUAUGAAUUAAAGGUAGUACCUGCCCCCUGCUAAGUAAAGGGCCGCAGUAUUUUGACUGUGCAAAGGUAGCAUAAUCAUUUGUUUUUUAAUUAGAAACUGGAAUGAAAGGUUUAAUAAGGAUUAAAUUUAUUGGAAGAAAAAUUUGAAUUUAAUUUUAGAAUAAAAAAGUUCUAAUAAAAUUGUGGGACGAUAAGACCCUAUUAAGCUUAAUAUUAGCUUUAUAUAUCUAAAGACAUCUAGUUAUAGAAGAAAAUAUUUUACUGGGGUGGUAAAAAAACAUUUAUUAAAAAGAAAAUUAGGAGCCAUUAUUAAUGCCAAUAAGAUAAAGUUACUAUAGGGAUAACAGCAUAAUUUCUUUUAAGAGUUCUUAUCAAUGAAGAAGAUUAUGACCUCGAUGUUGAAUUAAUUUUACCUUUUGAUGGAGUUGUUAAAAAGGUUAGUCUGUUCGACUAAUAAAAAGUUACA
RNAcentral lists this ribosomal RNA (474 nucleotides) under Nemastoma hankiewiczii. RNAcentral describes it as "partial 16S ribosomal RNA". It matches the Rfam family "Bacterial large subunit ribosomal RNA", at positions 1831 to 2600 of the family's 2925-position model. Lineage: Eukaryota; Metazoa; Arthropoda; Arachnida; Opiliones; Nemastomatidae. The record is from RNAcentral.